CGAGCCAAGCACAACGGAUCUGGGGAGACGGUCAGACUACUCCGUGUGACCCCAGCGGUGGGCGCACGUCAUUACAGCUUCGUCCAAACCAGCACAAGCGAGUCCCCCUCACACACCCUGGGAGACGAUGUCGAUGCCACGUUCCAUGUCCUUGGUCCACCCCGCAGGAAUUCCUACCCAGAAACUAAAUAUGGCCCCAAGUGUCUCAUCUCUCCGUCUCACGGUGUGCAGCGUGGAGCUGGCUUGGGGUCCUCUCUCUCCCUCCCUCUCUCACCCUCCCCC
Suricata suricatta (meerkat) is the source of this 282-nucleotide long non-coding RNA. RefSeq lists it as uncharacterized. The transcript is spliced from 3 exons. NCBI's taxonomy places the organism in Eukaryota, Metazoa, Chordata, Mammalia, Carnivora, Herpestidae. The record is from RefSeq and is a predicted model, not a curated record.